GAUCGAUAAGUUCAAAGUUUGGCCGGAGCUUUCGAGGCAUUUUCCGGCGAAUCCCCGGCGAGUUAGGCGUCGAGGUAGGUAUCAAUCUCUUCGUCUCGUCAAGUACUACAACUUUCCUUUUUGUUUCACUCAAUUUCGUUGAGUAUUGAAGAAGUUAUACUCAUUUGAAAAAUACCCAGUUUCCGGCGACCUCCGAGGCUUUCGAGGCAGUUUCCGGCCAAACUACGGCGAACUAGGUGUUGGGAAAGGUACCAUUCUCUUUGUCUCUUCAAGGGCUACAACUUUCGUUUUUGAAUCACUUGAUUUCGUUGAGAAAUGACAAAGUUAUGGUAAUUUGAAAAACUGCCCAGAAAACGGCCGCCGGAAAAACCAGUCCGGCGACCCAAGGAAGAAGAAGGUGCUACAGUAAAAAAUAAAAAUAAAAAUAAAAUUAUUUUAAAAAUAUGUCGACGUCCGUGACGUCGAGUAGAUCACCGUGGUAUAUUCAUAUACCCAAAUUGAACACCGUAUGAGAAAGUUAUUGAAGAUUGUUGGUUAGGUGUUCAAAUAACGUUUUAUAGUUUUCACAUUUAGGUGAAAAUGUGAAUUGAUGAUCCGACCGUUGGAUCGUCACCAAACUUUGAUACGUUGUAAUACGUAAUAUUUGAGGAUUAUUGGAACUUACGGAUUGGGAAUCCGAGUUACGGAUCUUCCGGAAUUGGAAUUGUAAGUCCAUAAUAUAAAAUGUUAACCGUCACUUAGUUUUGGAAAUUGACGGAGAUCCGACCGUUGGAUGGUAAUGAAAUUUUAGGAUGUUGUCCUAGAGGUAUAAUGUGGACCUCUGGAAGUUAUGGAUUUAAAAUCUGAGUGGCAGAUCUUCCGGAUCGAUCUACGUAGUGACGUAUUUUAUAUAAGUUAUAUAUUCUAUCGAUAUGAAUUCUGAGGUUGGAUUUGAUUACUGUUCUAGGCGGCGAUCGUCAUGACGCCUUGAUGUGUGGUGCUAGGGAGUUGUUGGACGAACUCCAGGUGAGUGGGCAGUUUUGUUUUCCGUAUACAUAUAUAAUUGACGUUUCCCAGAAAUUGAAAAUGUUACGAAAGUAUGCUUUAAAUGCAAAGUAUAAAAGUAUGUUUUCAAAUGCCAUGAGUAGAUUAUAUGAAAGAUAUGAUUUGAGAUAUAUUAGUUGAAAUACCAUGCUUAGAAGUAUGUGAAAAGUAUAUAGAAAUGUGAAUCGAAAUGCCAUGCAUGAAAUGAUAUGAAAAGUAUGAAUUGAGAUAUGAUGCAUAUGUAUGAAUUGGUGCUGUGGACGCACAGGUGAGUAUCAGGUGAGUAUAUUACUGCUAUGAUGAUGUUGAGAUAUAUUGAGCUCAUAACCUGCACCUUGGUAUUAGUGCUUAUUAUUAUUCACCGCAUCGCAUGCUCACCUUGGAUCCAAGUAGAUGCUAGUCGUACAGACCACCGGGGGUGGUUCCGACAUGCCAGUCGUACAGACCAUUAGAGGGGUUCCGACUGGUAGGUGACCUUAGAUUAUGUGCACAGAUGAUUGAUGAGAAAAGCACUAGAGCAUAUUAUUACACCAUUAAGUCGUACAGAUUACAUUAGGUAAUUCCGACUUAUGUGCAGUGUAGUGCCGUACAGGUCAUACUAGGUGACUCCGGCAUGGCCGAACAGGUCACAGUUGGUGACUCCGGUUAUAUGAGAUUUUGAGCUCUACAUUCAGCCGUACAGGACCAUUGUAGGGUCUCCGGUUGAUUUCUUUCUUGCACCUGAUAUGAUUAUUGCUGAUGCAUUCAUACUUAACUGUUGAAUUUAGACAUGGCAUGGCAUGAUUGAUAAAGAUAAAUGUUGAGAUAGUAAAAAUGAAGUUUUGAUAAUAUAUAUGUAUAUUUAUAUUUUACAUUUCUGGGAAAGUAUACAGGUUUUACGGAGAGGGGUUACAACGUUUUGAGAAAUGUUUGGAUUUGGAAAAGAAUUGUUUUACUGACCCACUCAAUUUUGGUUUUGCGCCCCUCCAGGUUCAUGAAUCACAAAGGUGUGGUGACUACGAGGAAUUCGACGGUGUUCUGACAGAUUGGACAAAAUUAGGACUCACUUUCGGGUGUAUCAACUUAGGAAUUGUAUCUUAAAGCUUCCGUACUGUGCAAAUGGUUACGUCACUCUCACGUGACGGCCAGCAUGCCCUCCUUCGGGACGGGGUGUGUCAGUUGGUAUCAGAGCAUGGUUGCAAUCUUGGACAUUUUGAGAAGUUCUAGUGAAUUCUGUCAGAACUACACCGCCUCGUAGCAAGCCACUUAGUUAGAGGAAUUUAGUCUCCCUAAUAUAACGGUUUAGGGGAAACUAUUAUUAUGGUGAUUCAGUCUAUUAUAAAAAGGGACAUUUUAAGAUGGGUUAUGAGUUGAAUUUGAAUCACUUAAGAGAAAUGAUGAACCUGAGGGAGCGAAGUAACGGUUUAACCAUUUGGAAAAGAUGUUUCGGAUUAUGCAAGUCAAAGGAAUCUUCCUUCUGACAAGGGGUCGAGAUGACUACCUGGUUUGAGUUAUGAACGUGUAUCCUGAUGGAAGCAGGAGUAUUAAUUGUUGUCAUCGGAGGAACAGCCGAUUUAAAAUUGUUUAAGGACUUGUUUAAGGAAAAGUUUAUCCCUCCGGCAUUUAUCGAUGGUAGUAAACAAGAGUUUACAAAUAUGAGACAAGGAAGGUGAUGAUCGAGGGAUAUUAUAGAAAGUUUUCAGACUUGCCUUGUUCCAUCCAGAUAUUGUUGUUAUUGGUGGAGGUGUUAUGUUGUUUUAAGCUGGGUGGCAAAAAGGGAAGUGGUAUUUUGGGUGACCACUAUCCAUUGUAGUUCUUAUCAGGAGUAUGCUAGAUGUUGUUGAGUCUUGAGGACUCUGAGAACAUGAGCAACGAGAAUAAAGAAGAAUAAGAAAUGAAUGGGAAUUUAAAGAAGACGAUAAAGUUAAUGAUUCGUCAUAUCAAGGAGAUAGAAAGAUUCAGAGCUUCGAAAGAAGUGAAGCUAGAGUUAAUUCUUCCAGCUGAGGUUUUAAUGUCGCUGGUCAGAGUAAAAGUGAUGGAUAUACUGGUAAUCCCAGAUAUUUGAGACAAGGUGUCUCGAGUAAAGGAAAUGUACUUUGUGCAGCAGGUACAAAAUUAACACUUUGGGAAAUGUGAAAUUAAUGAAUGUGUUUAUGUAAACAGAGGGGACACAUAAUUGUGAAUCGUCCCUAAAAUCAGUUGUACUCAACAAUUUUCCAUGAUAUCAUAGUGUCAAUUCAGCAGAGUUAUGGACUUAGUAGUUUGGUUGGAUUGACCAUGAGUACCGAGAGAUUUGAUGAGUUAUAUGUUCAGCCGUACAGGCCAAAAGAGGUGGAUCCGGCUGACACAUGAGAAAUUGGUGAGUUAUAGGCUCGGCUGUACGGACCACAAGAUGUGGAUCCGGCCGACGUAUUUACUGGGGAAUUGAUGUGUAAGUCGUACAGGUCACUAUAAGUGACUCCGACUAAUGUGCUAGCAUAGAUGGUUGAGCUGGAGAAUCAGCCGUACAGGUCAUUCUAGUUGACUCCGGCUGAUAUAUUUCUGAGUAUGGACAAUGAUGCCAAAGAAAGUAAUGUUGGAACGUGAUAGAGGCGUAUAUGUGUAUUCUAAUGAAAAAAAAAAAUGAUAGUAUUACACCUUUGGGAAUUGUUGCUUACUUAUCGAGACAACGAUGAUUUAUCAGUAUUGCGGGCUGCAGACCGUAAUAUUAAUAACUCAUUCGUGGAUUCGUUAAGCAAGCAAACCGGUAUUUUAUUUUAUGUUAGUGUUGUACUUAUUUAGAAUGUUCAGUAAUAAUAAAGUAUGUAUUGGGUCAGUUAAUUUUAUUCCAUUAGAUUGAUUAUUUAUAGUUGUGACUAGAUGGAAUAUUACGGGAAACCAGUUACUUUCCAUCGAUCUGGAUGACCAGAGAUUACUUUUGUAAGUAUGCAAAAUGGAUUGAGUCAGGCCGUUAUUUAUGCUGUGAGAGCAAAGAGAUUGUUUUCGAAAGGCUGUCAAAAAUACUUAGCUCAUGUGGUGCUAAAUGAUGUUGUUUGGAGUAGUGUGAAUAAUGUCGAAAGAGUUAGACUUUUCUUGAUGUCUUCUCUGAAAGUAUACCUGGAUUGUCUUCAGGCAGAGAUAUGAGGUUCAUUAUUGAUUUGUUGCCAGGUAUAAAUUUAUGUUAAAGAUUGGUUCAUGAUGAGUUAAGGGAAUUGGAAAUUCAGUUGAGAGAAUUGGUUGAUAAAAGUUUUAUUCAACCUAGUACAACACUGUUGAGGAGCACCAGUUUGUUGGUGAGAAAGGAAAUGGACUUAGAGAUUGUUCAUUGAUUAUAGAUAAUGGAAUCGGGUAACGAAUGAGAACCGUUAUCCAUUGUGGUGUAUUGACGCUCAUUUGAUCAGUUCAAAGGUGCUUGUAUAUUUUCAAAGAUUGACUUGAAUACUGUUUAUUAUCAAUUGAAGAUUAUGAGUUAUUGGAUGAAGUAUUCCAAUAAUGCCUUGAUAAAUAGAUAUCAUUUUCAUUGAAGAUAUUCUGGCAUAUUCUGAGCCAGAGCAGAACAUGUAAACGUAUUAAGUCGGUGGAACAAAGAUUGGAAGAAUGUCGGUUGUAUGCUAAGUAGCAAAUGCUAAAGUUAGAUGAAUCAUGUGGCAUUCUGAGAAUUGUUAUAUAUUCUUAAGGUAUUCAAGUGAAUCCUUAAAAGAUAGCAGAAAUUGAGAAAUUGGAACAACCACAAGCCAUAAUUGAGAUUCGGAAAUUCUUAACUUAUCAGGCUAUUUUGGAUGGUUGUGAAAGAAUUUUUAGUCAUUGUUUUGUCAUUGAUGAGACUGUUGAGAAAGGAGGUUAUGUAUGAGUGGGAAGGAAAUUGUGAGCAAAGGAUUCAACAACUGAAGUAUUUCCUCACUCAUGCACGUAUUUUAGUAAUCCCAAAGAAUAAUGGUAAUCAUAAAUUUUUAGUGAUGUUUCUUGAAUGGUAUUGGAUGCAUGUUGAUGCAAAUGUUAGGGUGAUUGCAUACGUUUCACGACAAAUGGAAUCUCAUGAGAUGAAUUACCCUACUGGUGAUUUGGAAGUCACGAUUACCAUCCUUGCUGUGAAGUUAUGGAGACAUUCUAUGUUGAUAAGAAUGCAAGAUUUUACAAAUCAAAAGAGUCUCCAAUAUUUGUUUACUUGGAAGGAUUUUGAUAGGAGGCAGCGAAUGUGAAUUGUAUUGCUUAAUGAACAUGAUUGUACGAUCAGGGUGAUCGUAAAGUUUGUUCUAACUGAAGCACUUGGUGAGAAGACUACAAUAAGAUUAAUGUCUGGCACGUUUGCCAAGAGUAUCAUCUUGUGGAUUGAAACCAACGGAAGAAAAAUUAAGAAUGGAAGAUCGAGAAGAAGUUAUACUUGUUAAAUUUCAAGUUAGGCCUGUUUGGUAAGGUCGUACUUGAAACUUAAAUGCUUGACGAAGAAAUUUAAGAAUUAACCAAGGUAGAGAAAGAAGGUAAGUUAAAUCCUAAGUUAAUCGGACUUAAGUGAUUAUCGAAAAGUUGGUGAAGUUGCUUACAAGCUUGUGAUGCCCUCAGAAUUGGUUAAGGUGCAAAACAUAUUUUAUGAUUCGAUGCGUUGUCACUAGGUGGCAGAUUCGUCACAUAAGAUUCUGGUGUAACUAUUGAGAAUUAAAUUGGAUUCGACUUGAUAAGGAACCAAGGACGACUUUGGAUUGGAAAAAGAAGGUCCUGAGAAAUUAAGACAGAGUAAGUAGUAGUAAAAGCUUUGUGAAGGAAAUCAUUCAGUAGAAAAGUAUGUGGGAGAAAGAGAAUCGGAUGAGAAAGAUUUACCCGAAGCUAUUGUUGGAGUAUGGUUUGAUUUUAGUUGGUUGCUGGAAUUUCGGGGACGAAAUUCUAUAAGGAGGGAAGAUUGUCACAGCCCGUCCCGGAAUUUUAAUUCCGAGGACAUGAAAAGACGAAAAUGCCCUUAAACGGGACUAAGGGGCGAAAAUUUAACAAUUUGGAUUGAGUUGGACACGUGGGAUCCCCACACCCCUCAAUCCUCUCCCUAUUUUCUGCAUACUGUCUCUCUCUCCUCCCUCACGAAUCUCUCUCUCUCUGUCACUCUUCUUCUCCGUUCGAACAAACCAACCACAAAACAACCUUAAACUUCCACCAACGACGGAGUUAAGACUACCAUCGAACUCCUGGAGACUCCACGAUCACGUAGACACCAAUUUCAGGUAAGUUUUACUUCGGAAAACCUAGAUUCUAAACUCCCCGUGAAAGUGCACUGUUCAUGAUCUUCGAAUUGACUUUGUUUUAGGACAAUCCAAGCUCACAGUGAGCUUAGUGAGGUUCCAAGGAAGCUCGGAGUGCUUCGUUGGAAGUUUUUGGACGUAAGAACACGGAGAUCGAUAAGUUCAAAGUUUGGCCGGAGCUUUCGAGGCAUUUUCCGGCGAAUCCCCGGCGAGUUAGGCGUCGAGGUAGGUAUCAAUCUCUUUCGUCUCGUCAAGUACUACAAACUUUCCUUUUUGUUUCACUCAAUUUCGUUGAGUAUUGAAGAAGUUAUACUCAUUUGAAAAAUACCCAGUUUCCGGCGACCUCCGAGGCUUUCGAGGCAGUUUCCGGCCAAACUACGGCGAACUAGGUGUUGGGAAAGGUACCAUUCUCUUUGUCUCUUCAAGGGCUACAACUUUCGUUUUUGAAUCACUUGAUUUCGUUGAGAAAUGACAAAGUUAUGGUAAUUUGAAAAACUGCCCAGAAAACGGCCGCCGGAAAAACCAGUCCGGCGACCCAAGGAAGAAGAAGGUGCUACAGUAAAAAAAUAAAUAAAAAUAAAAUUAUUUUAAAAAUAUGUCGACGUCCGUGACGUCGAGUAGAUCACCGUGGUAUAUUCAUAUACCCAAAUUGAACACCGUAUGAGAAAGUUAUUGAAGAUUGUUGGUUAGGUGUUCAAAUAACGUUUUUAUAGUUUUCACAUUUAGGUGAAAAUGUGAAUUGAUGAUCCGACCGUUGGAUCGUCACCAAACUUUGAUACGUUGUAAUACGUAAUAUUUGAGGAUUAUUGGAACUUACGGAUUGGGAAUCCGAGUUACGGAUCUUCCGGAAUUGGAAUUUGUAAGUCCAUAAUAUAAAAUGUUAACCGUCACUUAGUUUUGGAAAUUGACGGAGAUCCGACCGUUGGAUGGUAAUGAAAUUUUAGGAUGUUGUCCUAGAGGUAUAAUGUGGACCUCUGGAAGUUAUGGAUUUAAAAUCUGAGUGGCAGAUCUUCCGGAUCGAUCUACGUAGUGACGUAUUUUAUAUAAGUUAUAUAUUCUAUCGAUAUGAAUUCUGAGGUUGGAUUUGAUUACUGUUCUAGGCGGCGAUCGUCAUGACGCCUUGAUGUGUGGUGCUAGGGAGUUGUUGGACGAACUCCAGGUGAGUGGGCAGUUUUGUUUUCCGUAUAUACAUAUAUAAUUGACGUUUCCCAGAAAUUGAAAAUGUUACGAAAGUAUGCUUUAAAUGCAAAGUAUAAAAAAGUAUGUUUUCAAAUGCCAUGAGUAGAUUAUAUGAAAGAUAUGAUUUGAGAUAUAUUAGUUGAAAUACCAUGCUUAGAAGUAUGUGAAAAGUAUAUAGAAAUGUGAAUCGAAAUGCCAUGCAUGAAAUGAUAUGAAAAGUAUGAAUUGAGAUAUGAUGCAUAUGUAUGAAUUGGUGCUGUGGACGCACAGGUGAGUAUCAGGUGAGUAUAUUACUGCUAUGAUGAUGUUGAGAGAUAUAUUGAGCUCAUAACCUGCACCUUGGUAUUAGUGCUUAUUAUUAUUCACCGCAUCGCAUGCUCACCUUGGAUCCAAGUAGAUGCUAGUCGUACAGACCACCGGGGGUGGUUCCGACAUGCCAGUCGUACAGACCAUUAGAGGGGUUCCGACUGGUAGGUGACCUUAGAUUAUGUGCACAGAUGAUUGAUGAGAAAAAGCACUAGAGCAUAUUAUUACACCAUUAAGUCGUACAGAUUACAUUAGGUAAUUCCGACUUAUGUGCAGUGUAGUGCCGUACAGGUCAUACUAGGUGACUCCGGCAUGGCCGAACAGGUCACAGUUGGUGACUCCGGUUAUAUGAGAUUUUGAGCUCUACAUUCAGCCGUACAGGACCAUUGUAGGGUCUCCGGUUGAUUUCUUUCUUGCACCUGAUAUGAUUAUUGCUGAUGCAUUCAUACUUAACUGUUGAAUUUAGACAUGGCAUGGCAUGAUUGAUAAAGAUAAAUGUUGAGAUAGUAAAAAUGAAGUUUUGAUAAUAUAUAUGUAUAUUUAUAUUUUACAUUUCUGGGAAAGUAUACAGGUUUUACGGAGAGGGGUUACAACGUUUUGAGAAAUGUUUGGAUUUGGAAAAGAAUUGUUUUACUGACCCACUCAAUUUUGGUUUUGCGCCCCUCCAGGUUCAUGAAUCACAAAGGUGUGGUGACUACGAGGAAUUCGACGGUGUUCUGACAGAUUGGACAAAAUUAGGACUCACUUUCGGGUGUAUCAACUUAGGAAUUGUAUCUUAAAGCUUCCGUACUGUGCAAAUGGUUACGUCACUCUCACGUGACGGCCAGCAUGCCCUCCUUCGGGACGGGGUGUGUCACAAAUAAUUCAAAACCUGUCUCUAACUCUCUGAUCCAAUGAUCCAAAUAAUUAAGUAAUGUUAACAAUUACAUGUUAAUUUUUUUUAAGUAAUUAAGUAAUGUUAACAAUCACCAUGUUUUAUAUUAGGAUUAUUUUAUUAUCAAAUUGGAUUAUUCAUUAAAUUGGAUUAUUAUCAAAUUUGAUUAUUAUUCAUCACCAUGUUUUAUAUUAGGAUUAUUUUUUUAUGAAAUUGGAUUAUUAUUCAUUAAAUUAGAUUAUUAUUCAUUAAAUUGGAUUAUUAUCAAAUUGGAUUAUUAUUCAUCACCAUGUUUUAUAUUAGGAUUAUUUUUUUAUGAAAUUGGAUUAUUCAUUAAAUUGGAUUAUUAUCAAAUUGGAUUAUUAUUCAUCACCAUGUUUUAUAUUAGGAUUAUUGUACUAAUUCAUUAUAUAUAAAUUAUUAUGAUGUGUUUAGACUUCUUUCAUUAAUUACUACAUAUUUUCUACAUUCACAAUGUUUGUCAGCUAGCUAUAUAAUCAACUUGAUAAUGCUAAAUCCAUCAUGCAAUGCAUUUCUUUCCAAUUUUUUGUGAUAAACUAAUAGAUAAUUGACUAAAU
This 9143-nucleotide long non-coding RNA is filed under the name Malus domestica (apple). Its description in RNAcentral is "long non-coding RNA (MDOM_LNC008953)". The record is from RNAcentral. Lineage: Eukaryota; Viridiplantae; Streptophyta; Magnoliopsida; Rosales; Rosaceae.